AAAUACGACCAUAGGGUGUGGAAAACAGGGCUUCCCGUCCGCUCAGCCGUACUUAAGCCACACGCCGGGAGGUUAGUAGUUGGGUGGGUGACCACCAGCGAAUCCCUUCUGUUGUAUGUU
RNAcentral lists this ribosomal RNA (120 nucleotides) under Aspergillus tubingensis. The record is from RNAcentral. Lineage: Eukaryota; Fungi; Ascomycota; Eurotiomycetes; Eurotiales; Aspergillaceae.